This 566-nucleotide ribosomal RNA is filed under the name Candidatus Saccharimonadota bacterium. RNAcentral describes it as "partial 23S ribosomal RNA". It matches the Rfam family "Bacterial large subunit ribosomal RNA", at positions 1 to 462 of the family's 2925-position model. The record is from RNAcentral. Lineage: Bacteria; Candidatus Saccharimonadota.
AAAAAGGUAUAUAAGGGCACUAAUAGUGGAUGCCUUGACAAUCAACACCGAUGAAGGACGUAGGACUCUGCGAUAAGCCUCGGGGAUCUGAGAACGAGAAUUGAUCCGGGGAUUUCCGAAUGGGGAAACCUAGCAUAGGUCAUACUAUGUUGCCAUUAUCUGAACACAUAGGAUAAUGAGACGGGAACCAGCCGAACUGAAUCAUCUUAGUAGGUUGAGGAAAAAAGAAUAACCAAUGAUUCCGAAAGUAGUGGCGAGCGAAAUUGGAAUAGCCCAAACCUUAAGACAACCUAACGGUUUAACGGCCUGAGUUGUUAAAGGGGUUGCGAUUUAAGAUAUUUUUUAUGUAGAGCAGUCAACUUUAGUUUUACUUCUCUACAUAGAAACCAACAGCGUUAACUGAGUGGCAUAAGAUACAAUCCGUUGAUCAUAGCUGAAGCACUUGGAAUGGUGCGUCACAGAAGGUGAAAAUCCUGUAAGCGAAAUGGUCAUAGGCUUAUGAUAUCUUUAAUCAAGUAGGACGGGGCACGAGAAACCCUGUUUGAAUCCGGCAGGACCACCUGCCA